AUACUACUUUUUGUCUUAUCUCCCGCUUAAAAUGGAGCAUCCAUCUUGGGCCUCCAGUGACCUGAUGAACUUGUGGUACUGGGUGACCCGGAUGAUGUACCCAAGAUGAAUAUCUGCCUCGCAAGUUGAAUAUGGGUGCUUCAGUGGCAGCCAAGGCUGAUAUUGGAACACCUGAGCUCUGCUCUUGCAGACGGGAAGAUGCAACUGGUUCCAUGCCCUAACGGCUCACAGGUAGAUCUGG
Zootoca vivipara (common lizard) is the source of this 241-nucleotide non-coding RNA. The record is from RefSeq and is a predicted model, not a curated record. Lineage: Eukaryota; Metazoa; Chordata; Lepidosauria; Squamata; Lacertidae.